UGGGGAAUUUUGGACAAUGGGCGCAAGCCUGAUCCAGCCAUGCCGCGUGCAGGAUGAAGGCCCUCGGGUUGUAAACUGCUUUUGUACGGAACGAAAAGCCUCUUUCUAAUAAAGAGGGGUGAUGACGGUACCGUAAGAAUAAGCACCGGCUAACUACGUGCCAGCAGCCGCGGUAAUACGUAGGGGGCAAGCGUUGUCCGGAUUUACUGGGUGUAAAGGGUGCUCAGGCGGAUUUGUAAGUCAGAGGUGAAAUCUUACAGCUUAACUGUGAAACUGCCUUUGAUACUGCAAGCCUAGAGUAUGGAAGAGAGUGAUGGAAUAUCUGGUGUAGCAGUGAAAUGCGUAGAUAUCAGAUAGAACACCAAUGGCGAAGGCAGUCACUUGGUCCAUUACUGACGCUAAAGCACGAAAGCGUGGGUAGCAAACA
RNAcentral lists this ribosomal RNA (427 nucleotides) under uncultured bacterium. RNAcentral's name for it is "bacterial SSU rRNA". It matches the Rfam family "Bacterial small subunit ribosomal RNA", at positions 355 to 774 of the family's 1533-position model. The record is from RNAcentral.